ACCUGGCUGGCUCAGUUGGUAGAACAUGCAACUCUUGAUCUCAGGGUCAUGAGUUUGAACCUCAUGCUAGGUG
RNAcentral lists this transfer RNA (73 nucleotides) under Canis lupus familiaris (dog). It matches the Rfam family "tRNA". Rfam says of the family: Transfer RNA (tRNA) molecules are approximately 80 nucleotides in length. Their secondary structure includes four short double-helical elements and three loops (D, anti-codon, and T loops). Lineage: Eukaryota; Metazoa; Chordata; Mammalia; Carnivora; Canidae. The record is from Rfam by way of RNAcentral. RNAcentral also lists the same sequence under 1 other name.